Molecule: ribosomal RNA, 301 nt
Filed under: uncultured bacterium
Lineage: Bacteria
Description: partial 16S ribosomal RNA
Rfam family: Bacterial small subunit ribosomal RNA
Source: RNAcentral
CAGUCGCCGCGGUAAUACGUAGGGUGCAAGCGUUAAUCGGAAUUACUGGGCGUAAAGCGUGCGCAGGCGGUUAUAUAAGACAGAUGUGAAAUCCCCGGGCUCAACCUGGGAACUGCAUUUGUGACUGUAUAGCUAGAGUACGGCAGAGGGGGAUGGAAUUCCGCGUGUAGCAGUGAAAUGCGUAGAUAUGCGGAGGAACACCGAUGGCGAAGGCAAUCCCCUGGGCCUGUACUGACGCUCAUGCACGAAAGCGUGGGGAGCAAACAGGAUUAGAGACCCCUGUAGUCCCUGUCUCUUAUAA